This 459-nucleotide ribosomal RNA is filed under the name uncultured bacterium. Its description in RNAcentral is "partial 16S ribosomal RNA". It matches the Rfam family "Bacterial small subunit ribosomal RNA", at positions 338 to 795 of the family's 1533-position model. The record is from RNAcentral.
CCUACGGGUGGCAGCAGUGAGGAAUAUUGGUCAAUGGACGCGAGCCUGAACCAGCCAAGUCGCGUGAGGGAAGACGGUCCUAUGGAUUGUAAACCUCUUUUUUCGGGGAGCAAGAGACGCCACGCGUGGCGUUCCGAGAGUACCCGAAGAAAAAGCAUCGGCUAACUCCGUGCCAGCAGCCGCGGUCAUACGGAGGAUGCGAGCGUUAUCCGGCUUUAUUGGGUUUAAAGGGUGCGCAGGCGGAAGAUCAAGUCAGCGGUAAAAGUGAGAGGCUCAACCUCUUCGAGCCGUUGAAACUGGUUUUCUUGAGUGAGAGAGAAGUAUGCGGAAUGCGUGGUGUAGCGGUGAAAUGCAUAGAUAUAACGCAGAACUCCGAUGGCGAAGGCAGCAUACCGGCGCUCAACUGACGCUCAUGCACGAAAGUGUGGGUAUCGAACAGGAUUAGAGACCCGAGUAGUC